Molecule: transfer RNA, 77 nt
Filed under: Bacillus sp. P003
Lineage: Bacteria; Bacillati; Bacillota; Bacilli; Caryophanales; Bacillaceae
Description: tRNA-Phe
Rfam family: tRNA
About the family: Transfer RNA (tRNA) molecules are approximately 80 nucleotides in length. Their secondary structure includes four short double-helical elements and three loops (D, anti-codon, and T loops).
Source: RNAcentral
GGUCCGGUAGUUCAGUUUGGUAGAGCAACGGACUGAAAAUCCGUGUGUCGGCGGUUCGAUUCCGUCCCGAGCCACCA